UACGUAUGGUGCAAGCGUUAUCCGGAUUUACUGGGUGUAAAGGGAGCGUAGACGGCUGCGUAAGUCUGAAGUGAAAGCCCGGGGCUCAACUCCGGGACUGCUUUGGAAACUAUGCAGCUAGAGUGUCGGAGAGGUAAGUGGAAUUCCCAGUGUAGCGGUGAAAUGCGUAGAUAUUGGGAGGAACACCAGUGGCGAAGGCGGCUUACUGGACGAUGACUGACGUUGAGGCUCGAAAGCGUGGGGAGCAAACAGG
Molecule: ribosomal RNA, 253 nt
Filed under: Coprococcus comes ATCC 27758
Lineage: Bacteria; Bacillati; Bacillota; Clostridia; Lachnospirales; Lachnospiraceae
Description: partial 16S ribosomal RNA
Rfam family: Bacterial small subunit ribosomal RNA
Source: RNAcentral